This 350-nucleotide ribosomal RNA is filed under the name Actinomycetes bacterium. Its description in RNAcentral is "bacterial SSU rRNA". It matches the Rfam family "Bacterial small subunit ribosomal RNA", at positions 1 to 347 of the family's 1533-position model. The record is from RNAcentral. Lineage: Bacteria; Bacillati; Actinomycetota; Actinomycetes.
UGGAGAGUUUGAUCCUGGCUCAGGACGAACGCUGGCGGCGUGCUUAAUACAUGCAAGUCGAACGGGGUCCAACCGGUGGCAACACCGGGGAAGACCUAGUGGCGAACGGGUGAGUAACACGUGAGCAACCUGCCCCGAAGACCGGGAUAACACCGGGAAACUGGUGCUAAUACUGGAUACCCCCACCGGGCCGCAUGACCUGGUGAGGAAAUGAAUUUCGCUUCGGGAGGGGCUCGCGGGCUAUCAGCUUGUUGGUGAGGUAACGGCUCACCAAGGCAGCGACGGCUAGCUGGUCUGAGAGGACGACCAGCCACACUGGGACUGAGACACGGCCCAGACUCCUACGGGAG